RNAcentral lists this transfer RNA (73 nucleotides) under Arthothelium ruanum. Its description in RNAcentral is "tRNA-Ile". It matches the Rfam family "tRNA". Rfam says of the family: Transfer RNA (tRNA) molecules are approximately 80 nucleotides in length. Lineage: Eukaryota; Fungi; Ascomycota; Arthoniomycetes; Arthoniales; Arthoniaceae. The record is from RNAcentral.
GAUUCCUUAACUUAAUUAGGUAAAGUGUACUUUUGAUAAGAGUAUGUUCGGCGUUCAAGUCGCUGAGGAAUCA